Molecule: RNA transcript, 2475 nt
Organism: Zeugodacus cucurbitae (melon fly)
Lineage: Eukaryota; Metazoa; Arthropoda; Insecta; Diptera; Tephritidae
Exons: 3
Source: RefSeq, a predicted model, not a curated record
GAAUGGAUUGCCUGCAGUUUUACAUUAUUGCUUUAGAAGAAAUACAGCGAAGAUUGCCCCUUGGAACAGGUAUAUUUACAGAAAUAGAGUUUUUAAGUCCCGAAAUUGCAAUGGGGGUAAAAGGAAACCAAAAUGAUUUCACAUUUAAAAAUAUUUGCAGCAGAUUUAAAGUAGAUGCUUACGCUCUGCUACAAGAGUGGAGAACUUUUGAGUUUAAUUUUAAGAGCGAUGAAAAAGAUAAUCUUUUAAAGAUGGGCACUGAAGAGUUUUGGAGCAAUAUCACUAAAAUGAAAAACUUUAAUGACAAUUUUCUUUUUCCUACUAUAUCAAAAUUAGCCAAGUUUUUUUAACGCUACCACAUGCCAAUGCAGAUUCCGAAAGAAUUUUUUCUAUAGUUACAGAUGUUCGUACGAAAAAAAGAAAUAAGUUAAGCCAUGCAAAUUUAACUUAAAUUUAACCGCUCUUUUUGCAAGACGAAAAUCUAAAUUGUUGCAUUUUUCAGUGCAAGGAAUCGCAUCUAAAAAAAUGACAGCGUCUGAACUCUACGACCAUCAUUAAUAUUUUUUUUUGCACUGUGGUUACAUCAUGCUUAAAGUAUAUGUUUACGUGUUUUUUGUUUGUUUAGUUUUUUUUAACCAAAUAAAUUAAUGUCGCCUUAGUUAAACAUCCAUUUGAUUGGAUCAUUCUUGUUGUACCUAUGCUAGUCUAAUUUAAAACAUGAAAUGUAUUUAAAUGAAAUGAUUUUUUUUCUUUAUUUAUUUGUAUAUAUAUAUAUAUGUAUGUGUACACAUACAAGGCAAUGGUGCACAUAUUAUAUUUUUAUGUAUUAUGCCUGGUUUUCACUAGGUCAAAAUAAUUGACAUCAAAAACUGCCUAAACGAACAGCUGUGCUUUUGGUGGCAAAUGCGUUUUCAUUACAACAUCCAAACUGACCGAAUGUCGAUACUGCAGUGCCUUUCAAAAACUGUCGUCAAUUUUUGGUGUCAGAUGAUUGACCACCUGUUUUCAUUUAUGUCAAUUGUGAACAGGCAAUUGUGAACAGGCAAUUUUGACAGCUGUUAAAUUGAAGAUAUAAUUAUUUUUAAAUAAGUGCGUGAAAGUUUAAAAAUGAAUAAAAAUAGAAAAAUUACAAUAGUAACUGCGGCGUUAUGUCUUAUAACGUCAUUAAAAGCUUGGAAAAAGAAAAGGACUCAGCAAAGGAAACCAAAGCAGUGGUGGAUUAGACCAGGAUUAAGGAAUCGUUGCACCAGUGGAUUUUACUCCACACUUCGAUCCAAGCUGGUUUCUCAGGACCCAAAGUGGUUGAAGAACUUCCUGAGGAUGACUCUGGAAGAUUUCGAUUUUUUAGUGGAGCGUCUUACUCCAUAUAUUUACAAAAGAAACACACGACUCCGUGAAGCGAUCUCGGUCGGUGAAAGACUGGCGGUAACACUACGCUAUUUAGCCACAGGUGAUAACUUCUCGAGUUUGAUGAGUGUUUUUCUAUUGGGGAAAACUACCAUCUGCCAUAUAGUGCAUAACACGUGUAAAGGACGAAUUUUUAAAAGUUCCAAACACUCAUGAGGAAUGGACAGAAAUAGCGGAACGUUUUUACCAGCGAUGGAAUUUCCCUAAUUGUUGCGGUGCGUUGGAUGGGAAACAUAUAGCGAUUCAGGCGCCUGCGAACUGCGGUUCUGAGUAUUUCAACUACAAGAAAUACAAUAGCAUCGUUUUGAUGGCUAUGGUUGAUGCCGACUAUAAAUUUUUAUUUGUUGAAGUUGGAGCUUAUGGUCGGGAAUCUGAUGGAGGCGUUUUCGCAAGAUGUGCUCUUUCGACGGCACUUGCAGAAAACAGUUUAAAUUUUCCGCCAGCGAAGUCACUUCCACAUGAAAGUGAUGAAAUGCCAUUUGCCAUUGUAGCUGACGACGCUUUUCCUUUAAAAACAUACGUAAUGAAACCAUUCAGCUUCCGCAAUCAAGUGAUGUCGUACAAAAUAUUUAAUUAUAGGCUAUCCAGAGCAAGAAAUGUGGUGGAAAAUGUGUUUGGCAUUUGUGCAUCGCGUUUUCGGAUCAUCAGAAGACCAAUGGACGUUACUCCCGAACAUGCGACAAUUAUUGUCCUCGCGAUUUGUGUAUUACAUAAUUACCUAUUAAUACGCAAGUCUAUAUAUAUACGAAUGUCUGACGUAGACAAAGACACAAAUGGCAUUAUCGAUCCAGGUAAUUGGCGAAUGGAGUUGGGGGAAAAUGGAAUGCUUCCAUCAGUUCGGCCAAGCAGUGUUUUAGGUAGACCAGCAGACAGCGCGAUAAAUGUCCGUGAAAGAUUUAUGGAGUAUUUCAUGACUCCUCAUGGAGAGGUUGAAUGGCAAUAUAAUAGGACAAUAUUGCAUAACUCUUCUUUGUAGUUUACUCCUAUCUUUCUCAUUUAUAAAUGUGUAAUUCUAUAAUUUAACUUAUUUUGUAAAUACAAAAUAUUUUCAUUAUACCUAUUUUAAAA